Molecule: microRNA precursor, 90 nt
Filed under: Marmota marmota marmota (Alpine marmot)
Lineage: Eukaryota; Metazoa; Chordata; Mammalia; Rodentia; Sciuridae
Also listed under: 1 other name
Description: mir-146 microRNA precursor family
Rfam family: mir-146 microRNA precursor family
Source: Rfam by way of RNAcentral
UUGGCCACUUGGCUCUGAGAACUGAAUUCCAUAGGCCAUGAGCUCUAGCAAAUGCCCUAGGUACUCAGUUCUGGUGCCCGGCUGUGCCAC